Molecule: non-coding RNA, 732 nt
Organism: Nycticebus coucang (slow loris)
Lineage: Eukaryota; Metazoa; Chordata; Mammalia; Primates; Lorisidae
Source: the annotation of a RefSeq genome assembly
AUGGAGAGGCUACACAGCCUUCAAUUUGGAUAUCGGAAAUUCUGCUGCCUGGAAGGGAACCUGAGCUGUGCUGUCAUCUAUGUAGUGUCAUUAGAUGAGGGGGAGGAGCAGGAAUCAGGAGGGAUGAGUUCGUGUCCUGCUCCUGAGGGGGGACAAGGCCACGAGGAAGGGCCCUGCAGCUGCAGGUUCUCCAUCUGGGAGCAGCUGCAGCAGGGACAGAGGGUCCCUGACAGGGAUUUUUGUAUGAGCCUCUGUCACAGUGUGAUGUUUUUCGGCGGAGGGACCCUGCUGUCUGUCCUAGAGUUGGAAAAGGCCACUCCCGCUGUCACUCUCUUCGCACCCUCCUCUGAGGAGCUCAGAGACAACAAGGCCACACUGGUGUGUCUGAUGAGUGACUUCUACCUGGACUCUGUCUCCGUGGCCUGGAAGGCGGAUGGCAGCCCCAUCACCCAGGGCGUGGAGACCACCAAGCCCUCGAAACAGAGCAAUGGCAAAUACGUGGCCAGCAGCUACCUGAGCCUGACAGCUGACCAGUGGAAAAGUCACAGCAGGUACAGCUGCCAGGUCAUGCACGAGGGCAAAACCAAGGAGCAGACAGUGGCCCCUGCAGAAUGUGCUUAGGGGUCCCGGCCCCACCUCAGCCAUGGGGGUCUGGAGCUGCAGGAUCAUCAGGGAGGGGUCUCCCCUCCCACCCAGGUCAUCCCAGCCCUUCCCCCUGCACCCUGUAAACCC